Molecule: ribosomal RNA, 406 nt
Filed under: Bombina orientalis
Lineage: Eukaryota; Metazoa; Chordata; Amphibia; Anura; Bombinatoridae
Description: partial 12S ribosomal RNA
Rfam family: Bacterial small subunit ribosomal RNA
Source: RNAcentral
CACCCACCUAGAGGAGCCUGUUCUAUAAUCGAUAACCCCCGCUUAACCUCACCACUUCUUGCCAAUACCGCCUAUAUACCACCGUCGCCAGCCCACCCCGUGAGGGAAAUAGUAGGCACAAUGAUAAGUCACCAAAACGUCAGGUCAAGGUGUAGCGUAUGAAGUGGAAAGAAAUGGGCUACAUUCUCUAACCUAGAGCACACGAAAAAUCAUAUGAAAUUAGAUUAGAAGGAGGAUUUAGUAGUAAAAAGAAACAAUAGUGUUCUUUUUAAGUUGGCCCUGGGGCGCGCACACACCGCCCGUCACCCUCUUCAACUAAUAAAACACGAUUUAUAAAACACAAAACAAACUCAAGAAGAGGUAAGUCGUAACAUGGUAAGUAUACCGGAAGGUGUGCUUGGAAUUA